GAUUAGGGUAAUCUUAUGACGUUCCCCAUUCUACUCCCUCAGACUCUCCUACCUCACAGCGGCGCCGGAGAAAUUCUUCUCCGAGCGAUCGCUCUCCCUCGCCGUCUCGAUCUCUCACGUCCCCGACCUACAUUCUACUUUCUUCUCUCGAUUCCAUUUUCGAUCUCUUUGUCUCAAUUCGCUUCACACAUAAUAGUACCACGAGAAAAAUGAUGAGUAAUGAAGGAGAACGGAAGCUUACUGGCGGUGCCGAUUCUUCGAGAUGCUCAAAUGGAAAAGAAAAUACCAGAGGCACGCCGGAAUUCGCAAGUUGUGAAGAUUGAAAGGAGUUACAGAGAUUAUUGAAGAUUAAUAUUGAAGAAGGCGCGUGGAGGUGAUGAUUCGAUUAUUGAUGCAGAUAAGAUUCUUGAAGAUGAAUAAACGAGAAGCAGCUAUGGAGAUUGAUUAGGAGCGAUUCUUCGAUAAUCAACGUGUGGAGAAGAGAUUUGCACCAUUGAGGACCUGGACUUUGUUCAAAUUUGUUACAGAGAAUUGAAGGGUGAAGUGAGAUGAAGAUUGGAGAAUCAAGAGAGCUUCAGCGAGGGAAGAGAUGGAGAUUGAAAGGAUUGGAGAUUGAAGGAGGGAGGUUUAUGAGAUCGGAAGUUGACGAAGAAGAUGCAGAUGGAGAAUGGGUGUAGAAAAAUGGUGAAGAAAAAUGGUUCCCGAAGCUCAGAAGAAUGAAGAAGGUUUUGUUAUAUAGAGGUUGGUUGGGGGAAGAGAAUCAUUUAGGGCAGAAGGAUUUUGAGCCCUUAGAUUGAAGGAUCUGUUAUGGAACUGAAGGUGGAGAUUGAGUCUGAAAAGGGGUGUUGCAGGUUUGGAAUAACUAUUGCUUGUGAUGUAGGAGCAGAAUUUUUGCGGACCGGUUCGGUUAUAGUGCAACGAUGAAUGCUAGCUUCAACUCUUGUUUGCUGCUAUUUUUCUUUCUUUAAUUAACUUGCAGUAGAUAUAUUUGUGAGGAUGGGCAGAGGAUGAUGGAUGAAAGCUUGAAGGAAUAUACUCAUGGUGAAGUUUAGGGUUAGGAACACCAUACUUUGUAAUGUGAUGUAGAUGUAACAAUACCUUGUAAUGGAUUGAAUUUGGUUUUUGUAAUGAAAUUGUAAUGAAGUUUGGGAGAUUAUAAUGAAUGCAUUUUGUAAUGGAGACAUGGUAUAUUACUGA
This is a long non-coding RNA of Vicia villosa (hairy vetch), 1197 nucleotides long. RefSeq lists it as uncharacterized. The record is from RefSeq and is a predicted model, not a curated record. The transcript is spliced from 3 exons. NCBI's taxonomy places the organism in Eukaryota, Viridiplantae, Streptophyta, Magnoliopsida, Fabales, Fabaceae.